This is a long non-coding RNA of Lactuca sativa (garden lettuce), 3326 nucleotides long. RefSeq lists it as uncharacterized. The record is from RefSeq and is a predicted model, not a curated record. NCBI's taxonomy places the organism in Eukaryota, Viridiplantae, Streptophyta, Magnoliopsida, Asterales, Asteraceae.
UCGCCAUAUUCAUGAAACUACUAUAUAAACUGAAGCUGUAAGGGUUUAUUCAACACACAGACAAAGAUCCACAAUAUUCCAACGCCUCGAGGUUGUUCAUCUGCAUCUAAACUCGUAUCUCUGAUACUGUCUCUUGUUGUUGAAUUUCUCUGAUUUCGCUAAAACAGAUAUCUGAAUUUUUUCUCGCCUCUUUGUGAGAAAUCCUGUAGAAAUCUUACUAAUUGAUGUGAUUUUUCUAUGGACUUACGUCCACAAGAGGCGUAAAUUUAUUGCGGAAAUGUUGAGUCGCUUUGCCUCUGUUAAUCACCGGGCGCAGCUAAUAAAACCCCGCUAAAUUCAUCAACUUUUAUUGGUUUUGUGUGGUUUUCUUUCUGUAAGUAUUAAUUGAUGUUGCUUUUUGAUAUUUUUAAAUCGAAUUUGGUAUCCAAUGAUGGCAUGAUAUCUUUGAGACCUGAUUUUAACAUCUUGAUGACAAGCUAUAAGCAUUUUCGCUGAGGAUCCUUUCAAAAUAAGUUCUUUAUACUUUCAGCUGAUAAAUGACGAAUUUUUCACCGAUUUUUUUUCGUAAAAAUUAGAAAUUGUUCAGAGAUGAUGAAUUUUGCACUGGGCUCUGAGAGCAAUUGAAUUAAUUGCUUUGUUUGAUGCAUAAUGCAGCCUAGAAAGCUAGUCUGAUCGUUUAUCUUUAAUCAUUUACAUGAUUGAAACAAUUUUUUUGUUGAUUAUUGUUUGCGAUGAUGAUUGGACUUGCAUCCCAGCUCACUCUGAGACCUUAAUAUGUUUAAGGCUUGCAAUGAUGAUGGCAUUAUCUAAUCCCAGCUCUAUGAGACUUUAAUUUGUUUAAGGUCAGGGAAUUACAACGUUUAGUGUUUUAUCUGAGCUUUUGGCUAUUUUUAAAUCUCUUUUGAUGAUUUUUUAAUACAAAUUUGAGGUGAUUUUGAAUUUCUUUAUUACUUUUGUAAUAAAACAUAUUUGAUAAAACACAAAUUUGAUGGGUUUUCUAUUUGAUGUUCCCGAUGAUGCAUGAAUUUGACCAUGCUAAUUCUGAUUAUGAUGAUACAUUGUUAUGUCAUUUCUGAGGGAACAAAAAACAUUUACAAAACUUAAUGAUACAAAAUCAUACAUUAAAUGUUUUUUUUAUCUAUCACACAGCUAAAAACAAUGUAAUCCAUUUAAGACGAAAUCUGUUUGAGGAAACAAUAUUGAUAUUAGAAACAAUUAUAUAUAUACUGUGUGUUACAUGGUGGUUAAAAUUGUAAAAUAAAAAUAUAACAAUUAAUCAGAUAAAUUUAAGAACAAUUGUUUAUAUAACACAUUGAAAUAGUAUAUUAUUAAGUAUUUUAUGUUUAUUUAAAAAUAAUUUAUAAAUUACAUAUAAAUAAUAAGAACAUUACUUUUAGUGAUAGUUAAUAAAUAAAGAGUAAAUUACACGUCUAGUCUUUAUGGUUCAGAGUAAUUUGUGCGUUUAGUCUUUAACUUAUUUUUUUAGCGUUUGGUUUUUAACUUAUUUUUUUAACAUAGAAGAUUCUUGAUAUUUGGUUUUGUUAUGCUCUUGGUCCUUGUUUUGUCUAAAAAGAUUAUUUUGCCUUUGAAUUUUUAAUUUGUUUAAAUAAACACAACUUUAAUCUCGUCCCCUCAUUUUAUUUUACAUAUUUCAUUAUUUUUUUUUGUAUUUAAAUAAUAGUCUUUUAGGUAAGAUAGGACAUAAAAACAGACUGUAGGAUCCAAACAUGUAAUAAAAACAAAUAGUAAAGACAUUUUGAAUUAAAAAACUAAAUUAGGGACCAAUCAUGUAUAUCACCUCAAACCAUAAGGAACAUUUGUGUAUUUUACUCAUAAAUAAAUAAUGUUGGCAUACCAUCAAAUAUAAAAUUUGAUAUAUUGAAAUAACAAUCAUAUUAAUUUUUUUAAAAGCAUGGUCUAAAAACUAAUUGUUUGGAAAUCACUAUUUUAUAAAAUAUUAGAUAAAACAAUAUCCUUUCUAAAACAAUGUAUUUGUCCAAAUGUAAUAAAAAAUAUUUUUCUUUCCCAUAAACUAAAUUAUAAGAACAUAAAUUAUGAUAUUAUGUAUGAGUGAACUAUGACAAGUAAGUUGAUACAAAUUUUUUAUUAGUUGAUUUCUACGAUCAACAGUGAAAUUCCUUUUUUAAUUAAUUGAGAUUUAAAUAUAAUUCAACUUUUUUCAAACAGUUAAUGAACCAUGGGGGUAUUAACGUCAUUAUAAAGGUAAUUCGUGCCAACAUAAUAGCAUAAUUUUUUUUCCAACUAAAAUCUCUAUUCAAUUGAGAGACAGAUAGUUGGCAGCCAAAAUGAUGUAUGAGACGCAGAAUUUUCAUUAAUCCUUACUUUACAUGGUUGUAUUAUGGAGUAUUUAUUAUCACUUUUCACAAGGAUGUAGAAAUUUUAAGUCACACACAUAAAUCAAAUACAUACACAACCACAAAUUCAAUUAGAGGUGGCAAUCGUGUCGUGUCUGGUUUUUGUCGUGUCGAAACACUAAACGGAUUGAAAGUGUUUGACCUUAACCCGGCCCAUUUAACUAACGUGUCGUGUCAUGUCAACCCAUUUAUUUUCGUGUCGGGUUUCGGGUUAGGGCUAUACCUUGAAAUAUGUCAUGUGAGGUUAAAAGAUUGAGCAUGUUGAAAGAGUAUGAGUUUGGUAGGCGGAAAGAAAAAACUAACUGUUUUGAGGCAGAAUAGACGAAGUCAUAGCAAGUCUAGAUGACAAAAUUAAAAGAGUGAGAGUUAGAUAGGCGGAUGACAAGGUCAUGAGGAUGUGAGAGUUGUGAAAGUGAUUGGGUAGUUUGGGAAAGAAUAGAAAAACUGAAAUGAAAUUUUGAUCUAGACGGCUAAGUCAUUUCAACAUUAUAAAACAAUUCAAUUCGAAUGUUUUCUUUUACUUAUGCUUUUGUUUUUGUAUCUAUCUAGUUUAUUUAAAUAAUUUAAAAAACUUGCAUAUAAAUAAAUGGGUUAUUUUCGAGUCAUAAAUUGAAAUUCUCAAUCCUAACCUUAUCCAUUUAAUUUUCGUGUUGUGUCAAUAUGUUUAUUUAAACGAGUUGAAAUAAUUUACCCAAACCUGUUUAUUUCGUGUCGGGUUUGUGUCAGGUUUCGUGUCGUGUUGGAUCAACUGAGAAAUAUUAAUUUGGGGUAACAAUCAUGUGAAGUUAAACAAUUGCCCAUCAAUUGAGAAAAGAUCAACUGAGAAAUAUUAAAUUGGGGUAACGAUCAUGUGAAGUUAAAUAAUUGCCCAUCAAUUGAGAAAUCUCAAUAACGAUAUAUAUUUUACACUUGCAGCUUAGUUUACUUGCGGUACAAUACUACCAUUUACAA